Molecule: ribosomal RNA, 364 nt
Filed under: uncultured bacterium
Lineage: Bacteria
Description: bacterial SSU rRNA
Rfam family: Bacterial small subunit ribosomal RNA
Source: RNAcentral
UUAUCCGGAUUUACUGGGUGUAAAGGGAGCGCAGGCGGCAUGAUAAGUCUGAUGUGAAAACCCAAGGCUCAACCAUGGGACUGCAUUGGAAACUGUCGUGCUGGAGUGUCGGAGAGGUAAGCGGAAUUCCUAGUGUAGCGGUGAAAUGCGUAGAUAUUAGGAGGAACACCAGUGGCGAAGGCGGCUUACUGGACGAUGACUGACGCUGAGGCUCGAAAGCGUGGGGAGCAAACAGGAUUAGAUACCCUGGUAGUCCACGCCGUAAACGAUGGAUACUAGGUGUCGGGGAGCACAGCUCUUCGGUGCCGCAGCAAACGCAGUAAGUAUUCCACCUGGGGAGUACGUUCGCAAGAAUGAAACUCAA